Molecule: ribosomal RNA, 524 nt
Filed under: uncultured bacterium
Lineage: Bacteria
Description: partial 16S ribosomal RNA
Rfam family: Bacterial small subunit ribosomal RNA
Source: RNAcentral
UGGGGAAUUUUGGACAAUGGGCGCAAGCCUGAUCCAGCCAUGCCGCGUGCGGGAAGAAGGCCUUCGGGUUGUAAACCGCCUUUGUCAGGGAAGAAAUCUUCUGAGUUAAUACCUCGGGAGGAUGACGGUACCUGAAGAAUAAGCACCGGCUAACUACGUGCCAGCAGCCGCGGUAAUACGUAGGGUGCAAGCGUUAAUCGGAAUUACUGGGCGUAAAGCGUGCGCAGGCGGUUUUGUAAGACAGAGGUGAGAUCCCCGGGCUCAACCUGGGAACUGCCUUUGUGACUGCAAGGCUUGAGUGCGGCAGAGGGGGGAUGGAAUUCCGCGUGUAGCAGUGAAAUGCGUAGAUAUGCGGAGGAAACACCGAUGGCGAAGGCCAAUCCCCUGGGCCUGCACUGACGCUCAUGCACGAAAGCGUGGGGAGCAAACAGGAUUAGAUACCCCUGGUAGUCCACGCCCUAAACGAUGUCAACUGGUUGUUGGGAAGGUUCCCUUCUCAGUAACGUAGCUAACGCGUGAAGUUG